This 136-nucleotide microRNA precursor is filed under the name Chlorocebus sabaeus (green monkey). Its description in RNAcentral is "miRNA (ENSCSAG00000024619.1)". Lineage: Eukaryota; Metazoa; Chordata; Mammalia; Primates; Cercopithecidae. The record is from RNAcentral.
CAUGAUGAAAUGUGAUUAGUAUCACAAAGUAAACAUCAUGUUCUCCAGAUAUUUAGGAAAACAAAAGACUAUUCAGAGACUAUUUUAGAAGUGUGGUAAUUGGUUGGGGGAUGGGAUGGGGAACAUGGAGGAAAUC